GGCGGCGUGCUUAACACAUGCAAGUCGAGUGCGCGUCCGUAGCAAUACGGAUGGCGCACGGCGCACGGGUGCGUAACACGUGGGCAAUCUGCCCUCCGAUGGGGAAUAACUCCGGGAAACCGAAGCUAAUUCCGCAUAACAUUCCUUGGACUCCGGUUCGGGGAUUCAAAGCAGCAAUGCGUCGGAGGAGGAGCCCGCGCCCGAUUAGCUAGUUGGUGAGGUAACGGCUCACCAAGGCUAUGAUCGGUAGCUGGUCUGAGAGGAUGGCCAGCCACACUGGAACUGAGACACGGUCCAGACUCCUACGGGAGGCAGCAGUGGGGAAUCUUGCGCAAUGGGCGAAAGCCUGACGCAGCGACGCCGCGUGGGGGAUGAAGCUUCUCGGAGUGUAAACCCCUUUCGACCGGGACGAAUGCCCGCAAGGGAGUGACGGUACCGGUAGAAGAAGCCCCGGCUAACUACGUGCCAGCAGCCGCGGUAAGACGUAGGGGGCCAGCGUUGUUCGGAAUUACUGGGUGUAAAGGGUUCGUANGCGGUGUGGCAAGUCGGGAGUGAAAUUUCUGGGCUCAACUCAGAACGUGCUUCCGAAACUGCUGUGCUC
Molecule: ribosomal RNA, 601 nt
Filed under: uncultured bacterium
Lineage: Bacteria
Description: bacterial SSU rRNA
Rfam family: Bacterial small subunit ribosomal RNA
Source: RNAcentral